UAACAAAACGCCUUGCCUAUUCAUAGACAACAAAUGGUUUUAAUGUGUAAACAACUCCCAAGGAGUGGCAUCAGCAAUGCUGAGGAAACCUAGGUAGCCCUGAAACAGCCUGCCCGGUACUGGCUGCUUUCCCUGUGAUUCCAGCCUGGCUCCAAAUUUCUCUCCUGAGCCAUCUCAAAGGAUUCUCUGUCUAACGUGCAGGGAGGGCUCCACCAGUGACUUGGUGCCACCGGUUCCCUUGAGACCUAGCUCCUGGCUUUUGAUGGAUUAAUCCUUCACUUCUCAGGCCAUGGGAGAACCGGAGAGGAGAGCCUAGGAGCACUGGGUACCAGCUCCCGCCCCUGCGAAUGUUGGGCACUUUGUCUCCAGUGUUCAGCAGUCGGCGACAGCGGCAGCCCCGCGCAGCCCGGGACUUGGCAAGCCCUUGCCAGCGCGCGCUCCUCCUCCUGCGGCCUGGCCCAGCCCGGCGCAUCUCGGAGGACACUGAUGCUCCGCUUGCUCGGCAGAGUCAUGUCAUUCUCGCCUAUGCCGCCUCCGCCGCCGCCACCACCACCGCCCGCCCGAACCCAGGGGGGGCCCGCCGCACGCCAGCUAUCCCGGAGACCCUGCGGGCCGCCGGCAGCCUCGCCGCCCGCCCCUGCGGCCGCCGCCGCGGGCGAGAAAAAGAGGAGGCCGCCCGAGAUGCUACUCUCCAGCUCCUGGCCCUCCGCCACCCUGAAGAGGCCCCCGGCACGGCGCGGCCCGGGCUUGGGUCCCGGCACCCCGCAGCCCCCUACCUCCGCACGCGUCCCGCCCCAGCCCUCUCCAGGCCGUGGGGGGACCUCGGCCACGUGCUCCGCGCCCCGGCGGAUCGCCUGCAGCCACAUCCCAGCUGGAUCCACCGCCUCGGGGACCUCGGCGGGGGCGGGGGCUGGGCCCGAGGACGCCACACGCUUCUCCUUGAGCCUCACCCCAGAAGCCAUCCUGGUCAUCCAGAGGCGCCACCUGGAGAAGCAGUUGCUGGCGCGACCCCGAAGGCCCUUCCCCGCGCCCUCGGCUGAUCCGCGGCGCCCACUGGUCCCCUGUCCCCGGACCAGGUCUUCGACCCUGCGGAGGGGCGGUCCCACCAGUGUCCCCGACGCGCCUCUAGCUGUGGCUGUCAGCAGCCGCCCACCCCGUGCCUCGCUGCUGCCAGGAGGUCUGCAGGCCACUAUGCCCAGCCCGCGCCCCUCCAGCCUGCGCCCAGUGCUCAAGGUGUCGCUGCUCAAUGAGAAGCACAAGUAUGAUGAUGAGGAGUACGAGGAGGAGGUGGAGGUGGUGGACGAGGGCCUCGUGCGCAAGUGCACCGAGUGGCUGCGUGGGGUGGAGUCGGCGGCAGCUGCGAGGGGCCGCACUGGGCAUCUGGACUCGCUGCCACACCUGAGCACGCUGUGAGCUGGGUGAGCCUGUGGGACCCAGCCUUGCUCGAGGCCCACCGCCGCCUCCUGCGCUCUUUGCACACCUGGGCUCGGGUGAACCAGGUAGGCCAGCAAGGGACAGGACUAUUGCCUGGAACCUCAUCCAGGUGUGCUUACUCAUGAGUGACCCACAGUCUUUUCUAACGCCCACCACCCACCUCCUGUGCAAUUAGGUCAGUGUGGGACACAGCAGACUCACCUGACUCCAGCAACUGUCCCGUGCUCCUCCUGCUCCCCUGUGGGGAGGAAGGACCUGUGAAAUGCCUUCUAACCUCCCACCCUAACUAAGGAUUGGACCCAGAGGUCCUCUGCCCCAGGUGGCGUCCCACUUCCUGGGAACUCUGCAAGCCUGUGACCACUGAGGGUGGAGUGGUCU
Molecule: long non-coding RNA, 1812 nt
Filed under: Rattus norvegicus (Norway rat)
Lineage: Eukaryota; Metazoa; Chordata; Mammalia; Rodentia; Muridae
Description: long non-coding RNA NONRATT002164
Source: RNAcentral